AGAAAACUCUGUCCUCCAUAGCAAAACUGAGACAACUGGAAAAAAUUGUCAGAAUUACCUUUUUGCAGAUCUCUGGAAAUUAACAAAGGCUUGCAGAAAGCUUGGGAGUGUCUAGUCAAGGAAAACGACUGUAUCAGUAAGCACAGAAUGCCUUGUUGUGUUUUAACUUACACACGUCCCAUCCCCCACUUUCCAGCUCCAUGGUAGCCUCAAAAACUAACAGCCCCAAAUCACAGUGAAAAGCAGCAGCCUGGCAGCCACUAGAAGGGGCAGAACAGGGCUGGAAAUUUUUCAAAGCUACCUUCCCAGAGAAUUGCCUUUAUUUGAUCUGGCUGGUGGUUCCCUGGAAGACCCUGCUUAGAGGGCUAACUUUAUCUGAUCUUGGAGCUCACUCAGUGUGAAAAGCCUUUGCCUUGAGGGUGUUUGACAAGAACAAUUACAAGCAAUUGUUUAAAUUUAUAGCUAACAGUUGGGGCAACGACAAACUAGCCAAAUAGUGUAAAAAGAAAAACUGGGGAAUGAGAUGUUCAUAGGGCUUUGAAAGCUCCUAAGAAUCUAAAAGGUAACUAACAGCUAAGGAAAACGAAACCUCUCCCAGGCUUUGCAGAUUAAUCUGUUUGGGCACUCCUUCAUGGCUUAGCCAGGCCACUUACAACUCUGCCUUUGCCUUCACUUCCUGUUUGUGCUGAGUCUAGAGAUCGGCCAGAGAUGAAAGCUCAGGAUCUUCUCAGGUCUUUUCUGAGCAUGUGUCAUCCCCAGGUUAUAUGCGUGUCUUUCUAAGUUACCCAGUACACACAGGCACUUUUGAAUGCCCCAAUUUCCCAAAGAAACUCUGUAGCUUUUCUUCCUAGGCUUUUAGCAUGUUUGUUAUUUGCCUCAAUUGUAAUCUUUUGCCCUAGGUUGCAGUAGGUUGUUCAUCUGCCUUAGAAUGUUUUUGAGGAAUGCCCUCUGUGUAAGGCAGUUUUCUGGCCUGAAAGAAUUCCAAAUUAGGUGAAACAGACAGGCACCUUCUGUCAGUCCAUCAGGUAGCCCCUGAGACAGGUCAAAGCAGACAAACACAAUUAUUUGCAAAUAAGGUCUCUGCUCCCUCCAGAACCAGGGACCAGGGUCCCACACUGGGAAUGCAGGCUGCCUUCUUCAAGACUGCUGCCAAGCUGAGCAGGGGAGUAGGUCAAGAACAAGUGAAAAUGCUGCAAUGCUUUCCUACCAUUUUAAAGUUGACUUCUUAUUCAGCAUUCUCUUGGUUUUUCUAAAACUCUGUUUUCAACAAUUCUGGCUCUCUUGAUUCUCAGAAUUUUUGCUCAGUUUUUUUAGUGUUUCUGUACAGUGAUGGGGCCUUGGAACUAGCUACUCUGACAUUUUUGCUGAUGUUGCCCCUUUAGUAUUUCUUGUAAGGCAGGUCUGUUACCAAAUAAUUCUUUCAGUUUUUGUUUCACUCAAAAUUUAUAUUUUUUCCUUCAUUUUUGAAGGAUGGUUUGCUGGAUAUAGAAGACUUAGCUGGUAGGGUCUUUUCUCUCAGUACUUUGUAUUUGUCUUCCCACUGCCUUCUGGCCUCCAUGGCUUCUGAUGAUAAAUCAGCUGUUCGUCUUACUGAGGAGCCCUGAGCAUGAGAAGAAGUUGCAUCCUGCUCCUGUUGGAUGAGGUUGUCUAUAAAUGUCAAUUGCAUCCGUUGACUGAUGCUGCUGUUGCGUUUAACUAUGUCCUAACUGAUUUUUUGCCUGCUGUAUCUGUCCAUUUCCAACACAAGGAUGUUGAGAUUGCCAAGCAUGAUAGUUAAUUUAUCUAUUUCUCCUUGUAGGACCAUCAGUUUUUGCCUCACAUUUUGAUGCUCUGUUGUUAGGCACAUGCACAGCUCGGUUCUCCAGUAAGAACGCUAAACAGCAGAAGUCAUAGUGGGUUGUUUUGUUCCUGAUUAUCAAAAAGAAGGAUUUUGACGUUGCACCAGUAAGCAUGCUUUGCGGUAGCUCUUAUAUAGACAUGUUUCUCAGUAUAAUAGUUACCCUUUAUUCCUUAUUUGCUAAGAUUUUUUAGUCAACAUAAAUGGAUAUUAAAUUCUAGUCAAUAAUUUUUCUGCAUCUUUUGAGGUGCUCAUAUGAUUUUUAUCCUUUAAUCUUUUCGUAUGAUGUAUUACAUUGAUAGAUUUUCUAAUAUUAAAUCAAUACCUUAUAUUCCCAGGAUUAACCUAUCUUGAC
Molecule: long non-coding RNA, 2192 nt
Filed under: Equus asinus (donkey)
Lineage: Eukaryota; Metazoa; Chordata; Mammalia; Perissodactyla; Equidae
Description: lncRNA (ENSEASG00005024861.1, ENSEASG00020021585.1)
Source: RNAcentral